RNAcentral lists this ribosomal RNA (496 nucleotides) under uncultured bacterium. RNAcentral's name for it is "partial 16S ribosomal RNA". It matches the Rfam family "Bacterial small subunit ribosomal RNA", at positions 28 to 507 of the family's 1533-position model. The record is from RNAcentral.
GAUGAACGCUGGCGGCGUGCCUAAUACAUGCAAGUCGAGCGCAGGGACGAGAUGCUUGUUCCUCCGGUGUUAGCGGCGGACGGGUGAGUAACACGUGGAUAACCUACCUAUAAGAGGGGGACAACUUCGGGAAACGAGUGCUAAUACCGCAUAAUAACUUGAAACACAAGGUUCAAGAGUGAAAGAUGGACUUGCUGCACCCAAAAGUGAGACCGCGGCGCAUUUGCUAGUUGGGAAGGGAAAGGGUUACCAAGGCAACGAUGCAUAGCCGACCUGAGAGGGUGAUCGGCCACACUGGAACUGGGACACGGUCCAGACUCCUACGGGAGGCAGCAGUAGGGAAUCUUCCGCAAUGGGCGAAAGCCUGACGGAGCAACGCCGCGAGAGUGAUGAAGGUCUUCGGAUCGUAAAACUCUGUUAUUAGGGAAGAACAUAUGUGUAAGUAACUGUGCACAUCUUGACGGUACCUAAUCAGAAAGCCACGGCUAACUACGUG